Molecule: ribosomal RNA, 253 nt
Filed under: uncultured bacterium
Lineage: Bacteria
Description: partial 16S ribosomal RNA
Rfam family: Bacterial small subunit ribosomal RNA
Source: RNAcentral
UACGGAGGGCGCGAGCGUUAAUCGGAAUUACUGGGCGUAAAGCGCGCGUAGGCUGUUGUGUAAGUUGGGGGUGAAAUCCCACGGCUCAACCGUGGAACAGCCCUUGAUACUGCGCGACUUGAAUCCGGGAGAGGGUGGCGGAAUUCCAGGUGUAGAAGUGAAAUCCGUAGAUAUCUGGAGGAACAUCAGUGGCGAAGGCGGCCACCUGGACCGGUAUUGACGCUGAGGCGCGAAAGCGUGGGGAGCAAACAGG